GAUGAACGCUGGCGGCGUGCUUAACACAUGCAAGUCGAACGAAGCAUUUAAAACAGAUUAUUUCGGUAUGAAGUUUUUUAUGACUGAGUGGCGGACGGGUGAGUAACGCGUGGGUGACCUGCCUUGUACUGGGGGAUAGCAGCUGGAAACGGCUGGUAAUACCGCAUAAGCGCACGGUGCUGCAUGGCACAGUGUGAAAAACUCCGGUGGUAUAAGAUGGACCCGCGUCUGAUUAGCUAGUUGGUGAGAUAACAGCCCACCAAGGCGACGAUCAGUAGCCGACCUGAGAGGGUGACCGGCCACAUUGGGACUGAGACACGGCCCAGACUCCUACGGGAGGCAGCAGUGGGGAAUAUUGCACAAUGGAGGAAACUCUGAUGCAGCGACGCCGCGUGAGUGAAGAAGUAAUUCGUUAUGUAAAGCUCUAUCAGCAGGGAAGAUAGUGACGGUACCUGACUAAGAAGCUCCGGCUAAAUACGUGCCAGCAGCCGCGGUAA
RNAcentral lists this ribosomal RNA (497 nucleotides) under uncultured bacterium. RNAcentral describes it as "partial 16S ribosomal RNA". It matches the Rfam family "Bacterial small subunit ribosomal RNA", at positions 28 to 523 of the family's 1533-position model. The record is from RNAcentral.